Molecule: ribosomal RNA, 426 nt
Filed under: uncultured bacterium
Lineage: Bacteria
Description: partial 16S ribosomal RNA
Rfam family: Bacterial small subunit ribosomal RNA
Source: RNAcentral
GUGGGGGAUAUUGCGCAAUGGGGGCAACCCUGACGCAGCAACGCCGCGUGAAGGAUGAAGGUUUUCGGAUUGUAAACUUCUUUUAUUAAGGACGAAAAAUGACGGUACUUAAUGAAUAAGCUCCGGCUAACUACGUGCCAGCAGCCGCGGUAAUACGUAGGGAGCAAGCGUUGUCCGGAUUUACUGGGUGUAAAGGGUGCGUAGGCGGCUUUGCAAGUCAGAUGUGAAAUCUAUGGGCUCAACCCAUAAACUGCAUUUGAAACUGUAGAGCUUGAGUGAAGUAGAGGCAGGCGGAAUUCCCCGUGUAGCGGUGAAAUGCGUAGAGAUGGGGAGGAACACCAGUGGCGAAGGCGGCCUGCUGGGCUUUAACUGACGCUGAGGCACGAAAGCGUGGGUAGCAAACAGGAUUAGAUACCCCUGUAGUCC